GAUGAACGCUGGCGGCGUGCCUAAUACAUGCAAGUCGAGCGAACAGAUGAGGAGCUUGCUCCUCUGACGUUAGCGGCGGACGGGUGAGUAACACGUGGAUAACCUACCUAUAAGACUGGGAUAACUUCGGGAAACCGGAGCUAAUACCGGAUAAUAUAUUGAACCGCAUGGUUCAAUAGUGAAAGACGGUUUUGCUGUCACUUAUAGAUGGAUCCGCGCCGCAUUAGCUAGUUGGUAAGGUAACGGCUUACCAAGGCAACGAUGCGUAGCCGACCUGAGAGGGUGAUCGGCCACACCGGAACUGGGACACGGUCCAGACUCCUACGGGAGGCAGCAGUAGGGAAUCUUCCGCAAUGGGCGAAAGCCUGACGGAGCAACGCCGCGUGAGUGAUGAAGGUCUUCGGAUCGUAAAACUCUGUUAUUAGGGAAGAACAAAUGUGUAAGUAACUAUGCACGUCUUGUCGGUACCUAAUCAGAAAGCCACGGCUAACUACGUG
This 497-nucleotide ribosomal RNA is filed under the name uncultured bacterium. RNAcentral's name for it is "partial 16S ribosomal RNA". It matches the Rfam family "Bacterial small subunit ribosomal RNA", at positions 28 to 507 of the family's 1533-position model. The record is from RNAcentral.